CACUGGACGGGUGCCUGGACAUUAUCAGGAGUGCUUUUGAGGAGCCAGGAUGGAGGCGGUAGAGAGGGUUUCCAGGCUAGUGGACUGGCAGGGACCCUGAAUGCUUCUGUGUGCUUCCUUUUCUCCUUGCUUCACAGACCUCCUUCUGAGUGCAGGCUUGGUUCUCCUAGUUGUUUUGCUCCUGUGCUUUGAAUGGAUACGUCUACAGGAACAUUCAGAGGAGCUAGCUCACAGCGCCGUCUAACGUCCGUAGAUGGGAGGCUAAGAGCCAACUUCGGAACAAAGCUAUGUAAAAGACUUAGGGGUCACGGAGCCAAAGAGACCCCACUGGAGCACACAGUUGACGCAGAAUCUAUAAAGAACUUAGCAAGCUCAACACCCAAAGAACAAAUAAUCCAAUCAAGAAAUGGGCAGAAGACAUGAACAGACAUUUCUGCAAAGAAGACAUCCAGAUGGCCAACAGACACAUGAAAAAGUGCUCCAUAUCACUCGGCAUCAGGGAAAUACAAAUCAAAACCGCAAUGAGAUAUCACCUCACACCAGUCAGAAUGGCUAAAAUCAACAAAAUUACUUAUCUGUUUAAUGAAGGGUUUUUUUCCCUGAGAUUUUAUCCUUUUAUUUAAUGAGAAACAGAUUCCUUUAUCACUUCAUUUUGUCUCUCUCUGUUUCUAUGUAUUCAAUAAAAUUGCCACCUCUCUCAGGCUUUGAGUAACCUGAAUUGGUGGUAAGCCUUUUUGUACAAUGUAUCCUAGUUCUUUGUUAUAUAUUUAACCUUUAUGACUGUGAAAGCUGUGUACUUUACUUGUAAUAGCUGCCAAUUGUUAAGAGUGUGCAAGAACUGGGGUGUCUGGGUGGCUCAGUGGGUUAAGCCUCUGCCCUUGGCUAAAGUCAUGAUCUCAGGGUCCUGGAAUUGAGCCCCACAUCAGGCUCUCUGCUCAGCAGGGAGCCUGUUUCCCUCUCUCUCUCUGCCUGCCUCUCUGCCUACUUGUGAUCUCUCUCUGC
RNAcentral lists this long non-coding RNA (1002 nucleotides) under Mustela putorius furo (domestic ferret). RNAcentral describes it as "lncRNA (ENSMPUG00000023828.1)". Lineage: Eukaryota; Metazoa; Chordata; Mammalia; Carnivora; Mustelidae. The record is from RNAcentral.